Molecule: long non-coding RNA, 350 nt
Filed under: Nicotiana benthamiana
Lineage: Eukaryota; Viridiplantae; Streptophyta; Magnoliopsida; Solanales; Solanaceae
Description: long non-coding RNA (NBEN_LNC015376)
Source: RNAcentral
UUUAGGAAAAAAAUAGGGUUGCAAAUAAAAUCAGUGUGGUGAUAAACCUGGCCGUGAAACUCGUUAAUAACGUCAAAUAUGGCAUCAUCGAACAAAAACCCACCGAAGAAAGGCCGCCAAUAGACCCAGGCAAAGCAUCAGCGUCCGUCUUUUAUGGCGGAAGCUUCUGGGCUUCAAGCUUUAGAGAGAAACAACGAGAUGAGGCUUCCAUGGUGACUAGAGAUUGAGAGAAGUGAGGGAGGAGUAUGGACGGAGAGGUGAUGAACUUCAUCAGAGAGGAAGGAACCAGAAGGUUCUAGAGAGAAGGGAGAGAAUUUGUUAGAGAGAGAGAGAGAGACGGUCUGUGUAAA